This is a non-coding RNA of Lonchura striata (white-rumped munia), 4195 nucleotides long. The record is from RefSeq and is a predicted model, not a curated record. NCBI's taxonomy places the organism in Eukaryota, Metazoa, Chordata, Aves, Passeriformes, Estrildidae.
AUCAAUAAAUAAUAAGUCUUCUUUUUUUUUAUUCCAGGAAAUGUACUUAUCUUCCUCUUGUUGAAAGAUAAAAAUAGCUAAAUAAUAAUGUAGUAUAAAAGCUGGUUUUUUUGUAAUUUUUUGUAAUUAAAACUAAAAAGAUGAUUGCCUUGUACUUCAGAUGAGAUUGUAAGACUGAGAGAAUAACAUGACAAAGGUAUCCAACAAUUGAAGUCUGGGCAGUUGUAUUUUACACUACACUGGUACUCUGAACAUGAAGGAAGUAUAAUUGUGUGUUACAGUGCAACAACUACAUUAAGUGUUGGAGUUCUUUUCCAUAGCUCUUAAAUUCACUCUUCUCUUUCAGAAAACUACUAAGUGCUAAGACAAGAUAGGCUGUGUUUCUGUGGCUGAUUUGAAGAGGGAUAUGUACCUAAGAGUAAGAUUUUAUUUCCUUGCUUGACUGUUGUUAUUACAUCCAUGAAUUAAAAAUAAUAUUUCAAACACAGUUAUUAUUUAUAUAAUCCUACUACAUUGCUAUUUUCUAAAAGCAGAAAUGUUGCAUGAACAUGCACACACUUAUCCAUUUGAAAUUAACUUUAUUUUACCAGAAAAACAUUCAGAGAGGGUCAAUUCUUUAUAAAGGGUAAACCCCCAAAUUCUUACUAGUGGAUUAACAGCAGUAUUUAUAGACAUUAAGGUGCAGUUAUUCAAUAGUAUCCAGUUACCUAAUUCUAUUAAUCUCAGCAAGCACACAUUUACAUUUCUGGCAUAUAAAAUACUUCUGUAAAUCUUUCUCCUGAUUUAUAACUUAAAUAUGUAUUGUCACUUUCUACAUGUACAAUAUUUCUGAUUUUUCUUCUUUCUGUAUUUGGGAUUAUCACAUGCCUUCCCUUUGGGUUACAAGUAUGGAAGCAAAGAACAAAGAAUUGUUGAAGUGUCUUUGGAAGAAUGCCAGUGGCCUGGUGCUGCAGAGACUGGAGGAAAAUAAACCAAACCAACCAGUGGAAGGAUCAGAUACAGCCAGCCUGGGAGAAGUGGGGAGCAGAUCAGCACAGACAAAGCAUUGAAACCGUCUGUUUGGAAGAGUAGAAGAUACUGUUUGGGAGGUUUUACUAAAGUAGAGGAUCAUUCAUUUUGUAGACAAUUUUGAGAAUCCUGUGGUAAAAACUAUUAGGAAAUUACUUUUUAGCUAGUGGGCAAACUCGUUCUUGCAAUGAAUCUGACUCUUUAAUGAGAAAAUAUUCCAUUUGUUGCUGCUUCUUUUGCAAAAAUAUUUACAGGUUCUCUACUGUUCUUCUUAGCAUAUGCCUGUUACUCUUUUCCAUAUAAUUGCUAAAUUUCCUAACCAGGAUUUCAGCAUUUUCCUCAGAAGAUUGUAUUAGAGUCUAAUGGAUCAGAAAAUAUUUUCUAAUAUACAUCUAAAAUUAUCUUUUUCUCAAGUGAGAGCUUCAGAGCUGGGCACAGCACUCCAGGGAGGGUCUUCAAUAAGCCGAAAUCCUGCACCCUUGACAGAGAAGACACUGCCCAUGGACUAACCUCCACAGCACAUAACACUGUGUCACAGAUGGCCACAGAUGAUCACUAUACAAUUUCAGAAGGCUUUAAGCGUUCACCUAUAUAGAGUAACACCAGACCACAUCAGAAGGCUUCAAGCAUCUGCCCACACAGAGCAACAUCAUCUCACUUCAGAAGACUAACUUGUGGAAAAAAGGAAACACUUCAAUCCUUCCAAAGUGCUAUAUUACCAAGCCUGGAAACAAUUAAUCAACAGAAAUUUGCUUCUAUCAAUGUCUUAGCUUCAGAUCUUCAAUUACUGCUGAAUGAAAAAUUUGUAACCUGACUCAAACCUAGUUCACGUUUGUGAGUCAGCACACAAAACAUAUACUCUCCAUCACUGGGAAGUGCUUGCUCUCUAGGAUACUGCCCUCCUCCUAGAUGUAAAUUAAUUAAAAGUCUGGUUGUACAGUAAGUCCAGGAGACAAAAGAAAGGAGCCUUGUGUUACUCCAUCAUACAGUUCUGAGCUGCUCAGUAAUUUCACAAGACGUAAUGAAUGAACCAACUUCAAUGUGAACCACCAGCCUGUGAGCUCUGUGUAUGCCUUAUACACUACAUCUCUUGAUUAUUACCUAUAAGCACUGCUGAGAUCAGGCUCCCAAGUGCAGUAACACAAUAUGGCACUGCUGCUGCCAUGAAGUUCUCCAGCUCUGGCAGAAGUCACUAUGGGGCCUGUGAAUGCAGGAUAAGAACAGACUGAAAUUUCACCUCCAGCUUCUAGUUUUCCUGAAGCGACUUUUCUUCCUUCUACUCUUCCACUUUCUGAACAUGCUGAGCUUGAGAAUGUCUAUUCAGUGAAGAAUUAUGAACUAUAGCAGAAUUCAUAGCAACACUCAGGACCUACUGAAAGAGCAGAGAAAAAAUGAUCUUCAUAAAAAAACAAAAAUAUGUAACUAUGCAACAGUGAGCACAACUGCAGCUAAUAUUUGUGUGACCUUCAAUAUUAUGCAGCCACAGGAUAAAAUACAGUAGCUAUUUUUUUCAUUGUCUAUGCUGUCACUGUCAUGGAGCACAUUCCAGAACGAGAGAAGAGGGAAAUAACAGUCCACUGAUGAACAAUUACAACAUGCCUAGUUAGAAGUCUGCAAAUGGGUGCAAAAAUCUGGAAGGUCUGGUUAAUCUUAUGCAAAACCUAACCAUGAGGUGCCCAACCAUGUGCUCUAGAUAGCACGAGUGCCAUCCAUCGUCAUAUUUCUGACUACUUUACAGGUUGAACAGACAAGGUCAACAGGAUCCCUCUGAGGAAUUAAGUUUUCUUAGUGAGAAUGUUUGGGAGAUCUUGUAUUUGUACUUGGAAACUGUAGAUGUUGGAAGAUUGCAAAGGCAAUACCAAGAGUGGUGAUGUGUAAUGUGUAAUGUUAUGUGUUUGAGUUUCUUUUCAAGUAUGUGUGGAGGGACACAUUUAAAGAAAAAUAAGUAUAAAAUUUACUCAGUAUUUUAAGUGUGUUUUUAUGGAUAUUUUUCUUUUUGAAAAGCUGUAAUGUUAAAUUUUUGACUAAGAAUAGAACAGCCAUCUAGGUCCCACUCUGGAUGAAGAAUAUGACAUUUUGUGUUUAUAGUUUGAUGAUGACAAGGAAGCAGAGCUGACAUGACCAUGACUGAUGAAAUAAAAUGCAUUAUUCAAACACCUCCAAAAUUUGAAAAACUUUUAAAUGGCAAGAAUUUUAGAAUCAAAAGGAGGUAUGCAGAGUGCACAGUGAGUAUGACAUUGCAGCUACUUUAUGAUCAAGAGGUUCUAGCUAGUAGCCAUUGUAGGCUAAUCCUUACAUUAAUUAAAAAAGAAGUAAAAUCUUGUCAAAUAAGCAAAACCACGAAAGAGAGCUGCCUAACACUUAGCUCACUUCUUGAAAUUAAAUAUUGUGGCUCAAGAUCCCUUUUUUUAAACACAGAUUUUUGUGGGUGAUCAAUGAAGGCUGAGUGCUUUGAUCAUGUCCUCUUUACUGUGCCCACUCUUCAUGUCAGAGAUGAAGGGCAGGGAAUUGUUAUGCUUUGGCAGUUCUGUGCCACCCCAAGUUGCUCCUAUUCAGGGAAAUGCCCUGACUGGAUGUUUAAGCUGACUUCUACCCUCAUUUACAUCAACACAAAAAAUACCAGAGAUUCUGGUGUCAGAGUCUUUUUCUCCUUCAAAUGGAAAAUCAAACAGCAUGACUGAACUUGGAAGACUGAGCAAGCAGCUUCAUCUGAAUAAAGAAGGACAAAAAGGGAAGAGAAAGUAGUUGAUGCAAAAGCAUGUUUUUGUAUUUGUGCUUUGCACUUUGACUCCAGUGGAACCAGAUAUCCUUCUGAGCCUGACCUGGGAAAAAUAGUCCCUAUGUCAUGUGUCCUAUAAAAGGCUCAGCAAAGCCUUCCAUUGCUCUGAAAGUGUAGCAUUUUAAAUAAAUUGCUUUUCAAUUGAAAGGAGGGCUAAGGCAUUCAGACACUUCUCUGGUUCUUAAAUAUUCUUUGUGGGCAGUUAUUUUUAUAUAAAUAUAUUUAGUAGCUUACACAUAUUAAUGUUUUUUUUAAAUGUAAGGGUAUGUGAUUUUAUAUGUUCAUUGUUAUAUUAUUUUAUUGUUUUAUUUAUAUACAUAAUUUUAUGUAUCUUUCUAUGUAUCUACAUUUGUAUUUAUUUCUUCCUUUACAUAAAAACAAUAAAGAAACCACUCUAAUUGGAUUGUA